RNAcentral lists this transfer RNA (67 nucleotides) under Dasypogon diadema. RNAcentral's name for it is "tRNA-His". The record is from RNAcentral. Lineage: Eukaryota; Metazoa; Arthropoda; Insecta; Diptera; Asilidae.
AUCUAAAUAGUUUAAUUAAAAUGUUGAUUUGUGGUGUCAAAGAUAUAGAUAAAAUUUAUUUUAGAUC